This 543-nucleotide ribosomal RNA is filed under the name Triticum aestivum (bread wheat). RNAcentral describes it as "partial small subunit ribosomal RNA". The record is from RNAcentral. Lineage: Eukaryota; Viridiplantae; Streptophyta; Magnoliopsida; Poales; Poaceae.
AUGAAUAAUCGAUUUAGUGAAACUUCUACACGCUUGUUGAAGUGCAUUGCUUGCCUUGAUCCUAGAGACUCAUUUAGUAACUUUGAUCAUGAUAAGCUAGUUGAGCUUGCAAAUAUUUACUCAAUUGAUUUCUCUUCACAAGAGCGCUAUCUGUUGACUGAUCAACUCAACAUAUAUAUUGUGAUGAAAAGAAGUAGUGAAUUCUUGGCUUGCGAUAGUUUGAGUUCUCUUGCUCUCAAGUUGGUUCAGAGUAGACAACAUCUGGUAUUUCCAUUGGUUUAUCGGCUCAUCAGACUUGCAUUGACAUUACCGGUGGCAACUGCAUCAGUUGAGAGGGUUUUCUCAGCCAUGAAUAUUAUAAAGACUGAUCUUCGAAACAAGAUGGGUGAUGAUUGGCUUAAUGAUUUGAUGGUUUGCUUUGUUGAGCGCGAGAUAUUCGCUAAAAUUAGUGAUAAAGAGAUUAUGGUUCAUUUUCAUGCCUUGAAGAACCGUCGAGGUCAUCUACCUCCAGAACCUCGUGUUCAUUAUGCAAUUACGUCUUAA